CAAAAGAUUUGGGAAUUCAAUGACUGCGAAAAUGUUGUGACAGUUUACCACUCAGGCUCACAUGCUUGUGAAGCAAAACAACCGAUUUAUUUCAACGAUGAAGGUUUAAAAAGGAAAUUUACGGAGAAUAUAAAGACAACUCCAAGGCAGGCUGCAGAUGACAUAAUUGUUGAAGCAUUAUAUGACAAAGACAUGACUUGGGAUGAUGUACAUAAAGUAGUGGACUCAGUAAUAGAAGAAGGCAAGGUUAAGUACUGCAAACAAAAAACGCAAAACGAAGCCAAUCCAUUCGGGCAUAGUUUUGAAGCAGUGGGUGAACUGAGAAGCCGUUUAAUAGAAAAGGAUCCUUAUCUUCUUUAUAAAAUUAAUAACCGUAACAUGAACGGAGAACCUUCAUACGUGUUCAAAAUGAGCAAAAUUCAAGCAAAGCUAGCAGUCGCAAUGGAUUGCGACGGAAACGACUUUUUAGCAAGUGAAUACUGCUAUUUCGACGGAACAUUUAAACGUUGUCCUGGGUUUGUGACUCUUGAUGCACAUGUAUAUUUAGAACUUUUACGGAAAGUAGUUAAAAUUGCUACGAUGGAAUGUGAAACUGAGAGUACAGAAACAAUGGUGAUUUUCUGGACAUUAUUAAAUGAAGUUUUGGAGAACUUUUCUGGUAAACAAGGCUACAAGUUCAAUCCGAUUGGUUGGGCUGUUGACGAGCAUGGGGGAAAUUGGGCAUCUAUCCGGACAGUAU
This is a non-coding RNA of Paramuricea clavata, 739 nucleotides long. Lineage: Eukaryota; Metazoa; Cnidaria; Anthozoa; Malacalcyonacea; Plexauridae. The record is from the annotation of a GenBank genome assembly.